Molecule: ribosomal RNA, 494 nt
Filed under: uncultured bacterium
Lineage: Bacteria
Description: bacterial SSU rRNA
Rfam family: Bacterial small subunit ribosomal RNA
Source: RNAcentral
GACGAACGCUGGCGGCGUGCCUAACACAUGCAAGUCGAGCGGAGUCACGAAGUAGCUUGCUACGGAGUGACUUAGCGGCGGACGGGUGAGUAACGCGUGAGCAAUCUGCCUUAUACAGGGGGAUAACAGCCGGAAACGGCUGCUAAUACCGCAUAAGACCACAGCAGCGCAUGCUGCAGGGGUAAAAGGAGGAAUCCGGUAUAAGAUGAGCUCGCGUCCCAUUAGCUAGUUGGUAGGGUAACGGCCUACCAAGGCGACGAUGGGUAGCCGACCUGAGAGGGUGACCGGCCACACUGGGACUGAGACACGGCCCAGACUCCUACGGGAGGCAGCAGUGGGGAAUAUUGCGCAAUGGGGGGAACCCUGACGCAGCAACGCCGCGUGAGUGAAGAAGGUCUUCGGAUCGUAAAGCUCUGUCUUUGGGGACGAAAGAGAUGACGGUACCCAAGGAGGAAGCCUCGGCUAACUACGUGCCAGCAGCCGCGGUAAGAGUA